AGGGCAGCUGGGUCACGCGCCGUCCCAUCCAUCCUUGCUCUACAGCCACAGGACUGCCGUAACAGACAGAAAAUCAGAGGAUGUCCUCAAUCCGGACGUACUCGAAAACAUUCAGGAAAUACUGGCAAGGAACCUGUACCGAAUACGGAGAACGGUGCCGGCAUACAGCAGGCACACCCUUCCCGGGGAGACCGAGCCCGCAGAGCAGGCCGAAGAGAUCCUGAUCCUCCGGCACAGAAGCCUUCGGAUGGAAACGAGUGAGAGCGACGCAGUCGGCUCCAGGAAGGAGGUAAGCGAGAGUGGGAAACGCUCGUAACUGCAGAGACACAGUGCACCAUUCGUUUUUCCUAAUGAGGGAUCUCGUGCUAGCAGAUAUAAACAGCACUGGAAAGAGAGCUGCUUGCUGCUGGUGGUAUUUCCCCUUACAGACAAAUCCCGUCACCUUUAAAAAAAGAAAGUGUGACUCAAUCCUAAAUUACAUUGCAAUGACUAGGAAAUACUGAGGGUGGCCUGAAAAAAAAAGAAAAAAUCCAAUUCCCGACAAACAAAUGAACCAUCUUGUGCGUAGCGCUCCUCCGUCCUUUGCGAACGCAGGCUUCCAUCCAUACUAGGAAAGAUAUUUACUGAGCAAA
RNAcentral lists this long non-coding RNA (632 nucleotides) under Dromaius novaehollandiae (emu). Its description in RNAcentral is "lncRNA (ENSDNVG00000018204.1)". The record is from RNAcentral. Lineage: Eukaryota; Metazoa; Chordata; Aves; Casuariiformes; Dromaiidae.